RNAcentral lists this unclassified non-coding RNA (969 nucleotides) under Hevea brasiliensis (rubber tree). Lineage: Eukaryota; Viridiplantae; Streptophyta; Magnoliopsida; Malpighiales; Euphorbiaceae. The record is from RNAcentral.
GAAAAAAAAAAAAAAAAGCAAGGAAAUGGGUGGGAAUCUUUCUUCGUCUUUCACUGUUAGUCGAUCCCACAUCGCCACCUCUCCUCUCCUGGAGAUACUAAGACAAAGUUAGAUUUUCUGUGUUUCUGGCAUUAGCUUAUGAGCAUUUCUCUCUAUGGGUUUGUCAUGUGGGGAUGGGGAGCAUGAUUUUGUAAGUGUCUCUCCUUUUCUUUCUCCCUCUCUCCCUCUCUUUUCACAAAUUUGGUAAUUGGUGAAGUGAAGGAUUUUGGUUUUGCGUCACAGUUUGCCAUUCUUGAGUCUAACACCCUGAUUCUAAUUAAUUAAUGCCAGUGUAUUUUUGGGUUUUCUUAGGAUGAGAGAGAGUGAAGUUCCACCAAUAGAUGAGACCACCAGGCAGAGCGGACAAAGGUUUGGCGAAAUGGACAUACACCACCAUCAUCAUCCUGUCGAAGAUGUUGAAUUCUGGCCUGUUGAACACCCAAUGGAGCCCCAGGAUGAAGAUCGCCCUGUCAGAUGCCCAAUUCCAACUUCUUCUUUUGUCAAUGAUGGAAGCAUAAGCGAGCAGAGAUGUGGUGAGAGCUUAAGGAAGAGAGCGGAUGUUCCAGCGGCAGUUAACAAAGAAGGGAUUGUUAUUGUGGCUGCAGAACCUCCACUUCGAGCAGUGCGAAAAAGGCACCAUACCCUUACCCAUGGAAAUCACAUAACAAGAAUGCCUCAUCUUCCUCCUCUUCCCAGCCAGAAUGUUACCAUCUUUCAAAUGCUUCAACAGUUAGAUGAGUUUGAGUGUUAGCAAAAUAGAUAAAAUACAUUGAAUUCCAUGUUUUCUCAUCUAUCUUGUGUUUCUUUUGAUUCCAUUAUGGAGUGAUGAGAAAUUCUUCUUCUUGAUUAGAUUAUGUAGCUUCAACAGGGCAAGGAGAUGUAUCAAGGACUUCAUAUUGUAUUAGCCAUUUGGAAUAUAUAAUAUUCUGC